UUGCCUACGGGAGGCAGCAGUGGGGAAUAUUGCACAAUGGGGGAAACCCUGAUGCAGCGACGCCGCGUGAGUGAAGAAGUAUUUCGGUAUGUAAAGCUCUAUCAGCAGGGAAGAAAAAAGACGGUACCUGACUAAGAAGCCCCGGCUAACUACGUGCCAGCAGCCGCGGUAAUACGUAGGGGGCAAGCGUUGUCCGGAUUUACUGGGUGUAAAGGGCGUGCAGCCGGAGAGGCAAGUCAGAUGUGAAAUCCGCGGGCUCAACUCGCGAACUGCAUUUGAAACUGCUUCCCUUGAGUAUCGGAGAG
RNAcentral lists this ribosomal RNA (305 nucleotides) under uncultured bacterium. RNAcentral's name for it is "bacterial SSU rRNA". It matches the Rfam family "Bacterial small subunit ribosomal RNA", at positions 335 to 656 of the family's 1533-position model. The record is from RNAcentral.